Molecule: ribosomal RNA, 151 nt
Filed under: Lumbriculus variegatus
Lineage: Eukaryota; Metazoa; Annelida; Clitellata; Lumbriculida; Lumbriculidae
Description: partial large subunit ribosomal RNA
Source: RNAcentral
UCUCACGAAACCCGAAGGCGUCAAUGAAAGUGAAGGCCUUCCCCGCGGUUGGCCUAGGUAGGAUCCCGAGUNCGAGCAACCGACGAGGGCGCACUACCGGCCCGUCUCAGCCGCAACGUCGGCGAGGCGGAGCGAGAGCGUACACGUUGGG